GAUGAACGCUAGCUACAGGCUUAACACAUGCAAGUCGAGGGGCAGCAUGGUCGAAGCUUGCUUCGACUGAUGGCGACCGGCGCACGGGUGCGUAACGCGUAUCGAACCUGCCCUAUACACGGGGAUAGCCCUUGCGAAAGUAAGAUUAAUACCCGAUGCCAAAUUGAGAUCGCAUGAUUUUGAUUUGAAAGAAAUUCGGUAUAGGAUGGCGAUGCGUCUGAUUAGGUAGAUGGCGGGGUAACGGCCCACCAAGGCGACGAUCGGUAGGGGUUCUGAGAGGAAGGUCCCCCCANAUUGGAACUGAGACACGGUCCAAACUCCUACGGGAGGCAGCAGUGAGGAAUCUUCCGCAAUGGACGAAAGUCUGACGGAGCAACGCCGCGUGAACGAUGAC
This 394-nucleotide ribosomal RNA is filed under the name uncultured bacterium. RNAcentral describes it as "bacterial SSU rRNA". It matches the Rfam family "Bacterial small subunit ribosomal RNA", at positions 28 to 412 of the family's 1533-position model. The record is from RNAcentral.